Molecule: ribosomal RNA, 497 nt
Filed under: uncultured bacterium
Lineage: Bacteria
Description: partial 16S ribosomal RNA
Rfam family: Bacterial small subunit ribosomal RNA
Source: RNAcentral
GAUGAACGCUGGCGGCGUGCCUAAUACAUGCAAGUCGAGCGAACGGACGAGAAGCUUGCUUCUCUGAUGUUAGCGGCGGACGGGUGAGUAACACGUGGAUAACCUACCUAUCAGACUGGGAUAACUUCGGGAAACCGGAGCUAAUACCGGAUAAUAUUUUGAACCGCAUGGUUCAAAAGUGAAAGACGGUCUUGCUGUCUCUUAUAGAUGGAUCCGCGCUGCAUUAGCUAGUUGGUAAGGUAACGGCCUACCAAGGCAACGAUGCAUAGCCGACCUGAGAGGGUGAUCGGCCACACUGGAACUGAGACACGGUCCAGACUCCUACGGGAGGCAGCAGUAGGGAAUCUUCCGCAAUGGGCGAAAGCAUGACGGAGCAACGCCGCGUGAGUGAUGACGGUGUUCGGAUCGUAAAACUCUGUUAUUAGGGAAAAACAUAUGUGUAAGUAACUGUGCACAUCUUGACGGUACCUAAUCAGAAAGCCACGGCUAACUACGUG